This 503-nucleotide ribosomal RNA is filed under the name uncultured bacterium. Its description in RNAcentral is "partial 16S ribosomal RNA". It matches the Rfam family "Bacterial small subunit ribosomal RNA", at positions 30 to 523 of the family's 1533-position model. The record is from RNAcentral.
AUUGAACGCUGGCGGCAGGCUUAACACAUGCAAGUCGAGCGGGGUGAUGGUGCUUGCACUAUCACUUAGCGGCGGACGAGUGAGUAAUGCUUAGGAAUCUGCCUAUUAGUGGGGGACAACAUCUCGAAAGGGAAGCUAAUACCGCAUACGUCCUACGGGAGAAAGCAGGGGAUCACUUGUGACCUUGCGCUAAUAGAUGAGCCUAAGUCGGAUUAGCUAGUUGGUGGGGUAAAGGCCUACCAAGGCGACGAUCUGUAGCGGGUCUGAGAGGAUGAUCCGCCACACUGGGACUGAGACACGGCCCAGACUCCUACGGGAGGCAGCAGUGGGGAAUAUUGGACAAUGGGGGGAACCCUGAUCCAGCCAUGCCGCGUGUGUGAAGAAGGCCUUAUGGUUGUAAAGCACUUUAAGCGAGGAGGAGGCUCUUUUGGUUAAUACCCAAGAUGAGUGGACGUUACUCGCAGAAUAAGCACCGGCUAACUCUGUGCCAGCCGCCGCAGUAA